This 253-nucleotide ribosomal RNA is filed under the name uncultured bacterium. RNAcentral describes it as "partial 16S ribosomal RNA". It matches the Rfam family "Bacterial small subunit ribosomal RNA", at positions 524 to 776 of the family's 1533-position model. The record is from RNAcentral.
UACGUAGGGGGCAAGCGUUGUCCGGAUUUACUGGGCGUAAAGAGCGUGUAGGCGGCCAUACAGGUCCGUUGUGAAAACUGGAGGCUCAACUUCCAGACGUCGACGGAAACCGUGUGGCUAGAGUCCGGAAGAGGAGAGUGGAAUUCCUGGUGUAGCGGUGAAAUGCGCAGAUAUCAGGAAGAACACCAAUGGCGAAGGCAGCUCUCUGGGACGGUACUGACGCUGAGACGCGAAAGCUAGGGGAGCGAACAGG